AGUAGAGGUAGGGUUUCACCAUGUUGGUCAGGCUGGUCUCAAACUCCUGACCUCAGGUGAUCCACCCACC
Gorilla gorilla gorilla (western lowland gorilla) is the source of this 70-nucleotide microRNA precursor. The record is from Ensembl. NCBI's taxonomy places the organism in Eukaryota, Metazoa, Chordata, Mammalia, Primates, Hominidae.